AAAAAUUCAAGGUAAAUUAGAGAUAUUUUCCUUCUGAUAAGACUUGCAGCCAGUCCAAAUGAUAGUGACUGUUUUGUCUUCUCUUUGCAAUUUCCUCCCUUCUCAAGCAUCCAUGAUUCGUGAACGUAACAACCAUCUCUACCAACUCACCCUCCUAAACUUCCAUCAUUCCAAGUAAUUCCCAUUUUACCUUCCAUGGCUGCUCUGCCUCUCCCAGUUGGCCAUUCCUUAUACAGAAAUCACAGCACAAUUCAAGGACCCAGAAAGACCAGCAGUUCAAUUCCAAGAACGCUCAUCCUUUUAUGCUGCCAAAGCCACAAACCUGAAGAAACUUCCAAACCCAGAACGAAGAAAGAGAACCGCAGAAGGAAGUCGCAGUUGCCGGGAUUUCUUUCUGGUUUUGACAAGUUUGGGAAGGUUAUGAAAGAGAACCUAAGCCCACGGCAGAAGGGUGAUUGGAAGGACGUGAUGUUAAUGAGCUUAUCAUUUGCUGUUUAUGUGUACAUAUCACAAAAGAUUGUUUGUGCAUAUUGUGCUUGGAUGGCCAUGCCAAAGCAACCGUGAUGGUGAUUAUGAUGAUGCAGAGCUGGAUGGCCAGGAGUAGAUUUAGUAUAAGGACUUAG
Molecule: RNA transcript, 623 nt
Organism: Carya illinoinensis
Lineage: Eukaryota; Viridiplantae; Streptophyta; Magnoliopsida; Fagales; Juglandaceae
Exons: 2
Source: RefSeq, a predicted model, not a curated record